GACGAACGCUGGCGGCGUGCCUAAUACAUGCAAGUAGAACGCUGAAGGAGGAGCUUGCUUCUCUGGAUGAGUUGCGAACGGGUGAGUAACGCGUAGGUAACCUGCCUGGUAGCGGGGGAUAACUAUUGGAAACGAUAGCUAAUACCGCAUAAGAGUAGAUGUUGCAUGACAUUUGCUUAAAAGGUGCAAUUGCAUCACUACCAGAUGGACCUGCGUUGUAUUAGCUAGUUGGUGAGGUAACGGCUCACCAAGGCAACGAUACAUAGCCGACCUGAGAGGGUGAUCGGCCACACUGGGACUGAGACACGGCCCAGACUCCUACGGGAGGCAGCAGUAGGGAAUCUUCGGCAAUGGACGGAAGUCUGACCGAGCAACGCCGCGUGAGUGAAGAAGGUUUUCGGAUCGUAAAGCUCUGUUGUAAGAGAAGAACGAGUGUGAGAGUGGAAAGUUUCACACUGUGACGUAUCUACCAGAAAGG
This 478-nucleotide ribosomal RNA is filed under the name Streptococcus mitis. RNAcentral describes it as "bacterial SSU rRNA". It matches the Rfam family "Bacterial small subunit ribosomal RNA", at positions 28 to 491 of the family's 1533-position model. Lineage: Bacteria; Bacillati; Bacillota; Bacilli; Lactobacillales; Streptococcaceae. The record is from RNAcentral.